GUGCUUGUGGUGUAGUGGUUAUCACAUCCGCCUAACACGUGGAAGGUCCCAGGUUCGAUCCCUGGCAGGCACA
RNAcentral lists this transfer RNA (73 nucleotides) under Rhipicephalus sanguineus (brown dog tick). RNAcentral's name for it is "transfer RNA valine (anticodon AAC)". It matches the Rfam family "tRNA". From Rfam's summary of the family: Transfer RNA (tRNA) molecules are approximately 80 nucleotides in length. Their secondary structure includes four short double-helical elements and three loops (D, anti-codon, and T loops). Lineage: Eukaryota; Metazoa; Arthropoda; Arachnida; Ixodida; Ixodidae. The record is from Rfam by way of RNAcentral.